CCAACAGGGAUUGCCUCAGUAACGGCGAGUGAAGCGGCAAAAGCUCAAAUUUGAAAUCCUUCGGGAGUUGUAAUUUGUAGGUUGGGAGACCCCGCGGCUAGUGGCACCAAGUCCCUUGGAACAGGGCGCCUUAGAGGGUGAGAGCCCCGUAGGUACCACAAUACCGUCUUGUGUCUCCUCUCCAAAGAGUCGAGUUGUUUGGGAAUGCAGCUCAAAGUGGGUGGUAAAUUCCAUCUAAAGCUAAAUACCGGCGAGAGACCGAUAGCGAACAAGUACAGUGAUGGAAAGAUGAAAAGCACUUUGAAAAGAGAGUGAAACAGUACGUGAAAUUGUUGAAAGGGAAGGGCUUGCAAGCAGACACGGCCUUCGUGCCGGGCCAGCAUCGGUUGCUAGGGGUGGAUAAGGAACAAGGAAUGUAGCUCCUCGGAGUAUUAUAGCCUUGCGCGAUACACCCACUGGCGACCGAGGCCUGCGGUAUUCUUUACCUAGGAUGCUGGCGUAAUGGUUGCAAGCCGCCCGU
Molecule: ribosomal RNA, 520 nt
Filed under: Sungouiella intermedia
Lineage: Eukaryota; Fungi; Ascomycota; Pichiomycetes; Serinales; Metschnikowiaceae
Description: [Candida] intermedia partial large subunit ribosomal RNA
Rfam family: Eukaryotic large subunit ribosomal RNA
Source: RNAcentral